GAUGAAGAACGUAGCGAAAUGCGAUAAGUAAUGCGAAUUGCAGAAUUCCGUGAGUCAUCGAAUCUUUGAACGCACAUUGCGCCCGCCAGUAUUCUGGCGGGCAUGCCUGUCCGAGCGUCAUUUCAACCCUCGAACCCCUCCGGGGGGUCGGCGUUGGGGAUCGGCACUUACCUGCCGGCCCCGAAAUACAGUGGCGGUCUCGCCGCAGCCUCUCCUGCGCAGUAGUUUGCACACUCGCACCGGGAGCGCGGCGCGUCCACGGCCGUAAAACAACCCAAACUUCUGAAAUGUUGACCUCGGAUCAGGUAGGAAUACCCGCUGAACUUAAGCAUAUCAAUAAGCGGAGGA
RNAcentral lists this unclassified non-coding RNA (348 nucleotides) under soil metagenome. RNAcentral describes it as "partial contains 5.8S ribosomal RNA, internal transcribed spacer 2, and large subunit ribosomal RNA". The stretch from base 1 to 120 matches the Rfam family "5.8S ribosomal RNA", at positions 35 to 154 of the family's 154-position model. The record is from RNAcentral.